AGUGCUUGCACUCCGCUGACGACCGGCGCACGGGUGCGCACCGCGUAUGGAACCUACCUUUUGCAGGGGAAUAGCCCAGGGAAACUUGGAUUAAUGCCCCGUAGUAUCAUUGCACCGCCUGGUGUUUUGAUUAAAGCCUUCGGGCGGCGGAAGAUGGCCAUGCGUCCCAUUAGUUUGAUGGUAAGGUAACGGCUUACCAUGACUACGAUGGGUAGGGGCCCUGAGAGGGGGAUCCCCCACACUGGUACUGAGACACGGACCAGACUCCUACGGGAGGCAGCAGUGAGGAAUAUUGGACAAUGGAGGAGACUCUGAUCCAGCCAUGCCGCGUGCAGGAAGACGGCCCUAUGGGUUGUAAACUGCUUUUAUACGGGAAGAAAAACAGCUACGUGUAGUUGACUGACGGUACCGUAAGAAUAAGGACCGGCUAACUCCGUGCCAGCAGCCGCGGUAAUACGGAGGGUCCGAGCGUUAUCCGGAAUUAUUGGGUUUAAAGGGUCCGUAGGCGGGCCAUUAAGUCAGGGGUGAAAGUCUGCAGCUCAACUGUAGAAUUGCCUUUGAUACUGGUGGUCUUGAGUUAUGGUGAAGUGGCUGGAAUAUGUAGUGUAGCGGUGAAAUGCAUAGAUAUUACAUAGAACACCGAUUGCGAAGGCAGGUCACUAACCAUAUACUGACGCUGAUGGACGAAAGCGUGGGGAGCGAACAGGAUUAGAUACCCUGGUAGUCCACGCCGUAAACGAUGGAUACUAGCUGUCCGGGACCUUGAGUCCUGGGCGGCCAAGCGAAAGUGAUAAGUAUCCCACCU
Molecule: ribosomal RNA, 805 nt
Filed under: Maribacter sp.
Lineage: Bacteria; Pseudomonadati; Bacteroidota; Flavobacteriia; Flavobacteriales; Flavobacteriaceae
Description: bacterial SSU rRNA
Rfam family: Bacterial small subunit ribosomal RNA
Source: RNAcentral